RNAcentral lists this ribosomal RNA (460 nucleotides) under uncultured bacterium. RNAcentral's name for it is "partial 16S ribosomal RNA". It matches the Rfam family "Bacterial small subunit ribosomal RNA", at positions 338 to 795 of the family's 1533-position model. The record is from RNAcentral.
CCUACGGGGAGCUGCAGUGAGGAAUAUUGGUCAAUGGACGAGAGUCUGAACCAGCCAAGUCGCGUGAAGGAUGAAGGAUCUAUGGUUUGUAAACUUCUUUUAUAUGGGAAUAAAGUGAGGAACGUGUUCCUUUUUGUAUGUACCAUAUGAAUAAGCAUCGGCGAACUCCGUGCCAGCAGCCGCGGUAAUACGGAGGAUGCGAGCGUUAUCCGGAUUUAUUGGGUGUAAAGGGUGCGUAGGUGGUUUAUUAAGUCAGCGGUGAAAGUUUGUGGCUCAACCAUAAAAUUGCCGUUGAAACUGGUUGACUUGAGUAUAUUUGAGGUAGGCAGAAUGCGUGGUGUAGCGGUGAAAUGCAUAGAUAUCACGCAGAAGUCCGAUUGCGAAGGCAGCUUACUAAACAAUAACUGACACUGAAGCGCGAAAGCGUGGGGAUCAAACAGGAUUAGAUACCCCAGUAGUC